CCUACGGGGGGCAGCAGUGAGGAAUAUUGGUCAAUGGGCUUACGCCUGAACCAGCCAAGUCGCGUGAGGGAAGACUGCCCUAUGGGUUGUAAACCUCUUUUGUCAGGGAGCAACGCCGGCUACGUGUAGCCGGACUGAGAGUACCUGAAGAAAAAGCAUCGGCUAACUCCGUGCCAGCAGCCGCGGUAAUACGGAGGAUGCGAGCGUUAUCCGGAUUGAUUGGGUUAAAAGGGUGCGUAGGCGGAAUGCCAAGUCAGCGGUAAAAUCGCGGGGCUCAACCUCGCUCCGCCGUUGAAACUGGCGUUCUUGAGUGGGCGAGAAGUAUGCGGAAUGCGUGGUGUAGCGGUGAAAUGCAUAGAUAUCACGCAGAACUCCGAUUGCGAAGGCAGCAUACCGGCGCCCAACUGACGCUGAAGCACGAAAGCGUGGGUAUCGAACAGGAUUAGAUACCCGGGUAGUC
Molecule: ribosomal RNA, 460 nt
Filed under: uncultured bacterium
Lineage: Bacteria
Description: partial 16S ribosomal RNA
Rfam family: Bacterial small subunit ribosomal RNA
Source: RNAcentral